GUCAAGGUAGUAGAAUAAAUAUAUUAGAUUUAGGAUCUAAUGGUAAGAUAAUCAUCUUUCUUGAUG
This 66-nucleotide transfer RNA is filed under the name Macoma balthica. The record is from RNAcentral. Lineage: Eukaryota; Metazoa; Mollusca; Bivalvia; Cardiida; Tellinidae.